ACUGUGAGGCCCAGAGUGCCCACCCAGAACUCCACCUCUGACCUCACAAAGGCCUGCUUCAGAACUCAGUCUCCACUGCACUGCUGGCCAGACGAGGGAAGUUAUUUUGGGCAGUGCAUCUGGACUUGGUUCAAGUGGCACCAGCCAAAUCCCUGCCUUACUGACCUCUCCCCUGGAGGAGCAGGAGCAGCGCUCAAGGCCGCCUUGGGAGGGCUGAGAGGCAGGCUCUGGACUGGGGACACAGGGAUAGCUGAGCCCCAGCUGGGGGUGGAAGCUGAGCCAGAGACAGUCACAGAGGAACAAGAUCAAGAUGCGCUUUAACUGAGAAGCCCCCAAGGCAGAGGCUGAGAAUCAGAAGACAUUUCAGCAGACAUCUACAAAUCUGAAGGACAAAACAUGGUUCAAGCAUCUGGGCACAGGCGCUCGGGCCACUGUAUCAGGUCCACCCGUGGCUCCAAAAUGGUCUCCUGGUCCGUGAUAGCAAAGAUCCAGGAAAUAUGAUGCGAGGAAGAUGAGAGGAAGAUGGCGCGAGAGUUCCUGGCCGAGUUCAUGAGCACAUAUGUCAUGAUGAACAUACAUAUGAUAGUUGAGAAAGACACAUAUUCUGAUCAUGAAGAAAUAAACACAAGUUAAAUAUGACUAAGCAGAAAGAUGGAAGGACCAGGAACGGUGAUGCUAACUUGGAACCACGAUGCAGGCUCUAAACUCCUCUACAAUCAUCCUCCCUUGUGAGAAAAAUACUUGAUCUGAAGGUCCCAGCAAGGAGCCGACUCACAGAAGAAUGCAGUUUUCACAUCAUGAUGAUUUAAUCUUCCUUGACCUGAGCAAUUGACAACCCCAAUUCUCCAGAACCUCACCCGCCACAAUCCCCUUAAAAACCCUGGCCCAGAACCCCUCAAGCAGACAGAUGUGAAGCUUGAGGAUUCCUUCAUCUCUUUGCCCAAUGGCAUUGUGAUUAUUAAACUCUUUUUCUGCUGCAAAUUAUGAUGUCUCAGUGUAUUGGUCUAUUGCUGCUCAGUGGGCAUAUGAAUCUGGCAGUCCUGUAAUAGGGACAAAAGAUAAACUACUGGCAAAAC
RNAcentral lists this long non-coding RNA (1076 nucleotides) under Homo sapiens (human). RNAcentral describes it as "HSALNT0352489". The record is from RNAcentral. Lineage: Eukaryota; Metazoa; Chordata; Mammalia; Primates; Hominidae.